CACACACACACACACACACACACACACACACACUCACACAUACGCACACACACACACACACACAGAACACUAAACUGUAAUGUUUUUAAUAUUCAUGUUUUAAUGUGUAAACUGUAUGUUUGUUGUAUUGUAUCCCUUGUUCUCAGCAUCAGCCUGAAACGCAGUGAGAUGGAGGAUAACCCUAUCUAUGGAAACAUUACCUACACACACAGCAGAGAUCACAGUGAAGAACGUCCCGCUCGGGCGUUCUCUGCUGGACGGGAGUGCUACGCCAACCUGACCCUGAAAGUUCCUAAAGUACCCUCUGGCCGAAGUUCUCCAGCCCCUCAGAUUCAGUACUCAGACGUGAUGACUGUUAAUCAGGAUCCAGUAGAACCAGAACCCGACGGGGAAGAGGACCCCAUAGAGAAGGAUACGUGUUCCAUGAUCUCCGAGCUCUACGCCUCUGUGGACGCAGAACACAUCAAGACCAAGAAGCAGGACAACAACGAACCGUACGCCAACCACGUCUGAGAACCUGAGAACUGUCAGAUCAGAGAGACACUGUUAUAAUACGAAUGAACUGUAUAAACAUAACAAUCCUAACUGUGGUACACAGUCCCAUUUCUCAUUUUAUAUUUCAUAGGGGCGCUCAAAAGUGUCCUCAGUGCUCCCUUUAGUGAAGACAGCAUGAAUGCAGACUUAGCAAGAAGGCGGGGUUUGGGCAUCCAACUCCGCCCACAUGCAGCCCAGCCUCUUGUUACGCCACAAGCCACGCCCUUCUUACAUCCUAGGCCGUGGCUGUGCCCGAAACUGAUUUCUAUUUACUUCUAGGUAUUAAUAAGUCUGUCGGCCAUUUUUGUUGAGGUGGGAUUAGAAUGUAAUUUUGAGGAACUAUAAACUUCAAAAUACAUCACAAAUUACAGUAAAAAAUCAUAUCAUUAGCUACAUUAGCUAAGAGCUACCUUUAAUCGUUACUAAGCAACCUAACUUGGAAGUACUGGAGCCUAUCGAGAGCCUGGGGUUGCCAAAUAAAACAUGUUUCAAAUCCA
This 1031-nucleotide long non-coding RNA is filed under the name Astyanax mexicanus (Mexican tetra). RNAcentral describes it as "lncRNA (ENSAMXG00005009307.1)". The record is from RNAcentral. Lineage: Eukaryota; Metazoa; Chordata; Actinopteri; Characiformes; Acestrorhamphidae.